UUUUACUUCAAAAAAUGUUCCCGGUUGUUGAAGGAAGAGCCUUGUGCUUUGUCGAUAUAUAUAUAUAUGAGGGAGCCCAACAUCAUAUUUGUAUCCUCUAUCAAAUCUCAUCUAUUCAGUUCUACUUUCCUUAAUUGCUCACGACUAACAUUCCCAGGGGGCCAUAGAAGAAGAUGAAUAGGCCAGGAGACUGGAACUGCCGAUUGUGUAGCCACCUCAACUUCCAGAGAAGGGAUUCCUGCCAGCGUUGCAGAGAGCCAAGGACGAGCGGCAUUACCGACUUAGUGAGCAGUUUCACAAGCCGUCCAAUCAGUAGCUCUUUUGCUUUCAACACCGGGCCUGACGUGAGACCAGGUGAUUGGUACUGCAACCUCGGAAAUUGCGGAACACACAAUUUUGCAAGCAGGUCCAGCUGUUUCACGUGUGGUGCCGCAAAAGAUGAGUCGUCACUCUCGGCUGCUGCUGCAGCCCCCGGGUUUAUAGACAUGAGUGAUGGUCCGAGACGCGGUUUUUUUGGUUUCGGUAGCAGCAGUGGUGGUGGAGGCGGCAUGGGCCGUUCUUCUUGGAAAUCUGGAGAUUGGAUUUGCUCGAGGCCAGGCUGCAAUGAACACAACUUUGCAAGCAGGUCAGAGUGUUUCAGGUGCAACGCCCCAAAGGAACCGGCCACCAAUUCACCCUACUAGUCCUAACUUUCUUCGUCAUCUUCAUGAAAAUGGUGUGUUACUAGACUUUCUUUGGGUAAGUUAGAGAAGAGAUAAAACUAGUGAAGAACCGAAGCAGGAUAACGACCCUUUAUGUCGUGAUUUAUGUUUUUUUUUUUCUUAUGUUGAUUUGACUCGUUUCGUGUCUCGUAUGACUUAUGUCUGGUUAUCUUUGAAUGUAAGAAAAUCAAGUAAAAUUAGGAAGUGUUUUGCUCUUAUAUCGAUCUCCUACUAUGUACGGUUGCUUUAAUGUAUUCUUAUUUUUGAUAAAGUGUUACCCUCUUA
Molecule: RNA transcript, 986 nt
Organism: Raphanus sativus (radish)
Lineage: Eukaryota; Viridiplantae; Streptophyta; Magnoliopsida; Brassicales; Brassicaceae
Gene name: RNA-binding protein involved in heterochromatin assembly dri1
Exons: 4
Source: RefSeq, a predicted model, not a curated record